CAAGGGUCACCGUGAAUCGUGGCCCGAUGCGGUUGAUCCACCGAUCCGCUACAUCGUUGCACCUCGCUUCCUCCUUGCAACCAGCACGCGAGCGUUCGCGCCAACACACCACGUUUCAAGGAGAGAGUAGCGAUGUCCGGUAAAGAGAUCGGAACCGUCAAGUGGUUCAACGACGCCAAGGGUUUUGGCUUCAUCAGCCGCGAAAACGGCGAGGACGUGUUCGUGCAUUUCCGCGCGAUCCAGUCCCAGGGCUUCAAGAGCCUGAAGGAAGGCCAGAAGGUCUCGUUCACCGUGGUCCAGGGCCAGAAGGGCCUGCAGGCCGACGCGGUCGAGCCGAUGUAAAUCGCACUGCGUGCGAUGCUGCGCUGCCGCACGAUCGGCGCGCAACUCGGAAAAACCCGGCCAAGGCCGGGUUUUUCUUU
This 422-nucleotide small RNA is filed under the name Lysobacter enzymogenes. RNAcentral's name for it is "cspA thermoregulator". It matches the Rfam family "cspA thermoregulator". Lineage: Bacteria; Pseudomonadati; Pseudomonadota; Gammaproteobacteria; Lysobacterales; Lysobacteraceae. The record is from Rfam by way of RNAcentral.